AUGGCCGCGGCCACGGGCAUGGCUCCCCUCCUCUCCCCCGCCGCCGCCGCCAGUCACUCGCGCAUCCCCUCCGCCCUCGCCACCCCCGCUCCUCCGCCCACCCGCCGCGCACGCCCGCGCCCACGCCGUCUCCUCGUGUCUGCUCCGGCGGCCCACUCGGGCUCCGACGGGGCGCCGCCGUCCACGCUCUCCUCCCCCUCCGGCAACGGAAACAAGGGGGCCGGCGCGCUCACCUUCCAGCAGGCCAUCCAGCGGCUCCAGGAGUACUGGGCCUCCGUCGGAUGCGCCGUCAUGCAGUGCAGCAACACCGAGGUCGGCGCCGGGACGAUGAGCCCCCUCACGUUCCUCCGGGUGCUGGGCCCCGAGCCGUGGAACGUCGCCUAUGUGGAGCCGAGCGUGAGGCCCGACGACAGCCGCUACGGGGACAACCCCAACAGGCUCCAGCGCCACACCCAGUUCCAGGUGAUUCUGAAGCCUGACCCAGGGAACUCGCAGGAUCUCUUCCUGCACAGCCUUUCAGCGUUAGGCAUCAAUGUUCGUGAACACGACAUCCGUUUCGUCGAGGACAACUGGGAGAGCCCUGUUCUUGGAGCCUGGGGGCUGGGCUGGGAGGUUUGGAUGGACGGCAUGGAAAUCACGCAGUUCACAUAUUUUCAGCAGUCUGGAAGCCUCCCCUUGCUGCCAGUUUCUGUCGAAAUAACAUAUGGACUUGAACGUAUCCUCAUGUCACUUCAGGGAGUAGAUCAUUUCAAAAAGAUUCAGUACACCGAAGGAAUUACAUAUGGGGAACUAUUCCUUGAGAAUGAGAAAGAGAUGAGUGCAUACUAUUUAGAGCAUGCAAAUGUUGAUCACAUUCAAAAGCACUUUGAUGAUUUUGAGGAAGAGGCUCGAUCUCUGUUAUCACUUGGGCUGCCAAUUCCCGCGCAUGACCAGGUUCUGAAGGCCUCUCAUGCUUUUAAUAUUCUAGAUUCUAGAGGCUUUGUUGGUGUAACUGAGCGUGCAAGGUAUUUUGGUCGCAUGCGGAGUCUUGCUCGUCAAUGUUCUCAGCUUUGGUUGAAAACACGAGAGGAAAUUGGUUAUCCACUGGGCACUUACCAAGAGGCUAAUCUUGUAUACCCCCAUGUCUCUGAAAAGCUCAGCAGAAAGGAAGUGCUGGGGCAGGCACAGGCGUUUGUUCUUGAAAUAGGAACAGAAGAGUUGCCGCCCCAUGAUGUGGUAGAAGCAACUGAACAACUUGAGAAAUAUCUAGUUCAAAUACUAGGGAAGCGUAGACUGAGCCAUGGGAAGGUGCACUCAUAUGGGACACCACGGAGAUUAGCGGUUGUUGUUGAAAAUCUAAGUCUGAAGCAAAUGGAGGAAGAGGUUGAGUUACGCGGUCCGCCAGUUACAAAGGCAUUUGACCAAGAGGGAAAACCCACUAAGGCUGCUGAGGGGUUUUGUCGGAAAAAUAAUGUUCCCUUAGAUUCCUUAUACAGAAAAGUUGACGGUAAAACAGAGUAUAUAUAUGCCUGUGUCAAAGAGUCUGCACGAUACGCUGAUGAGGUCCUAUCUGAAGAUUUACCUACUAUUAUAUCUGGUAUUUCAUUCCCCAAGUCAAUGCGCUGGAACUCAAAUAUUGUGUUUAGUCGCCCUGUACGCUGGAUCAUGGCACUUCAUGGAGAUCUUGUGGUGCCAUUUUCUUUUGCUGGCAUCUCAAGCGGGAGCCAGUCAUGUGGCCUUCGUAACUCCUCUUUGGCGAAUUUUAAGGUGGAAACCGCAGAAUCAUAUUUGCACACGGUGGAAAAAGCUGGCAUCGUGAUUGAUAUGCAGGAGCGCAAAGCAAAAAUCUUAAGUGACUCUAGUAUACUGGCUAAAGGAGUUGAUGGGGAUUUCAUUGCACCUGAUAGCUUGCUGCAGGAGGUUGUCAAUCUUGUCGAGGCGCCUGUGCCCAUUCUUGGUCGAUAUGAUGAUUCCUUCCUAGAACUUCCGAAAGAUGUAUUAACAACGGUUAUGCAGAAACACCAGAGGUAUUUUCCUGUAACCUCCAAGUCUACAGGCGAUCUGCUACCAUAUUUUAUUACCGUUGCUAAUGGUUCUAUUAGUGAAGAAGUGGUCCGUAAAGGCAAUGAAGCUGUACUCAGGGCAAGGUAUGAGGAUGCUAAGUUCUUUUACAAGAUGGAUACACAAAAGAAUUUGUCUGAAUUCCGAGGCCAGCUGAAGAGCAUUCUCUUUCAUGAAAAACUUGGUACAAUGCUCGACAAAAUGGCGCGUGUUGAAAAUGUUGUUGCAGAGUUGACCUGUGUUCUCGGGAUAAAUGAAGGGAUGAUCUCAGUUGUCAAAGAUGCAGCUGCAUUGGCUAUGUCAGAUCUUUCCACUUCAAUUGUUACGGAAUUUACUUCACUUGCUGGAAUUAUGGCACGCCAUUAUGCUUUAAGGGAUGGUCUUCCAGAAGAGAUUGCAGAAGCACUGUUUGAGAUAACACUUCCAAGGUUCUCUGGCGAUGUUUUACCAAAAACAGAUGUUGGCAUAGUCCUUGCGGUUGCUGAUAGAUUGGACAGCCUAGUGGGUCUGUUUGGAGCUGGAUGUCAGCCAAGUUCUUCGAACGAUCCAUUUGGACUGAGAAGGAUCUCUUAUGGAUUGGUUCAAAUAUUGGUUGAGAAUAAGAAGAACUUUGACCUCACGAAGGCCUUGACCUUGGUGGCACAGGUGCAGCCUAUAAGAAUAGACAAUGACGUUAUAAAUGAGGUAGUGCAAUUUGUAACACGGAGACUGGAACAACUUUUGGUGGAUGAGGGAAUUAACUAUGAAAUAGUUCGGUCGGUGCUUAUGGAGCGUGCGAACUGCCCUUAUCUGGCAUCACAAACGGCAGCUGAAAUGGAAGCAUUUUCAAGAACUGAAGAUUUCCCAAAAAUUGUUGAGGCGUAUUCCAGGCCAGUUCGAAUUAUACGUGGGAAGCAAAUCGAGUCUGCUUGGGAGGUUGACACAAGCGUAUUCGAGAAGGACGAAGAAAAAGCCUUGUGGAGCGCCUAUUUGGAGGCUGUCGACAAGAUCCAUCCUGGUGUUGACGUCAAAACCUUCAUCGAGGCCUCCCUGCUUCUGAUACAGCCUUUGGAAGAUUUCUUCAACAAUGUUUUUGUCAUGGCGGAAGAUGAGAAGAUCCGCAACAACCGGCUGGCACUACUACAAAAGGUUGCGAGUUUGACGAAGGGGAUAGCCGACCUCUCGGUUUUACCAGGGUUUUAG
This 3222-nucleotide ribosomal RNA is filed under the name Triticum aestivum (bread wheat). RNAcentral describes it as "partial small subunit ribosomal RNA". The record is from RNAcentral. Lineage: Eukaryota; Viridiplantae; Streptophyta; Magnoliopsida; Poales; Poaceae.